CUACGGGAGGCAGCAGUGGGGAAUUUUGGACAAUGGGGGCAACCCUGAUCCAGCCAUGCCGCGUGCGGGAAGAAGGCCUUCGGGUUGUAAACCGCUUUUGUCAGGGAAGAAACGCGCUGAGCUAAUACCUCGGCGUAAUGACGGUACCUGAAGAAUAAGCACCGGCUAACUACGUGCCAGCAGCCGCGGUAAUACGUAGGGUGCAAGCGUUAAUCGGAAUUACUGGGCGUAAAGCGUGCGCAGGCGGCUUUGCAAGACAGAUGUGAAAUCCCCGGGCUCAACCUGGGAACUGCAUUUGUGACUGCAUGGCUAGAGUGCGGCAGAGGGGGAUGGAAUUCCGCGUGUAGCAGUGAAAUGCGUAGAUAUGCGGAGGAACACCGAUGGCGAAGGCAAUCCCCUGGGCCUGCACUGACGCUCAUGCACGAAAGCGUGGGGAGCAAACAGGAUUAGAUACCCUGGUAGUCC
This 465-nucleotide ribosomal RNA is filed under the name uncultured bacterium. Its description in RNAcentral is "bacterial SSU rRNA". It matches the Rfam family "Bacterial small subunit ribosomal RNA", at positions 339 to 796 of the family's 1533-position model. The record is from RNAcentral.